AGUGAACGCUGGCGGUAGGCCUAACACAUGCAAGUCGAACGGCAGCACAGUAAGAGCUUGCUCUUACGGGUGGCGAGUGGCGGACGGGUGAGGAAUACAUCGGAAUCUACUUUUUCGUGGGGGAUAACGUAGGGAAACUUACGCUAAUACCGCAUACGACCUACGGGUGAAAGCAGGGGAUCUUCGGACCUUGCGCGAUUGAAUGAGCCGAUGUCGGAUUAGCUAGUUGGCGGGGUAAAGGCCCACCAAGGCGACGAUCCGUAGCUGGUCUGAGAGGAUGAUCAGCCACACUGGAACUGAGACACGGUCCAGACUCCUACGGGGGGCAGCAGUGGGGAAUAUUGGACAAUGGGCGCAAGCCUGAUCCAGCCAUGCCGCGUGGGUGAAGAAGGCCUUCGGGUUGUAAAGCCCUUUUGUUGGGAAAGAAAAGCAGCAGGUUAAUACCCCGCUGUUCUGACGGUACCCAAAGAAUAAGCACCGGCUAACUUCGUG
Molecule: ribosomal RNA, 492 nt
Filed under: uncultured bacterium
Lineage: Bacteria
Description: partial 16S ribosomal RNA
Rfam family: Bacterial small subunit ribosomal RNA
Source: RNAcentral